This 495-nucleotide ribosomal RNA is filed under the name uncultured bacterium. Its description in RNAcentral is "partial 16S ribosomal RNA". It matches the Rfam family "Bacterial small subunit ribosomal RNA", at positions 28 to 507 of the family's 1533-position model. The record is from RNAcentral.
GACGAACGCUGGCGGCGUGCCUAAUACAUGCAAGUAGAACGCUGAAGGAGGAGCUUGCUUCUCCGGAUGAGUUGCGAACGGGUGAGUAACGCGUAGGUAACCUGCCUGGUAGCGGGGGAUAACUAUUGGAAACGAUAGCUAAUACCGCAUAACAGUAGAUGUUGCAUGACAUUUGCUUAAAAGGUGCAAUUGCAUCACUACCAGAUGGACCUGCGUUGUAUUAGCUAGUUGGUGAGGUAACGGCUCACCAAGGCGACGAUACAUAGCCGACCUGAGAGGGGGAUCGGCCACACUGGGACUGGGACACGGCCCAGACCCCUACGGGAGGCAGCAGUAGGGAAUCUUCGGCAAUGGACGGAAGUCUGACCGAGCAACGCCGCGUGAGUGAAGAAGGUUUUCGGAUCGUAAAGCUCUGUUGUAAGAGAAGAACGAGUGUGAGAGUGGAAAGUUCACACUGUGACGGUAUCUUACCAGAAAGGGACGGCUAACUACGUG